This 497-nucleotide ribosomal RNA is filed under the name uncultured bacterium. RNAcentral describes it as "partial 16S ribosomal RNA". It matches the Rfam family "Bacterial small subunit ribosomal RNA", at positions 28 to 507 of the family's 1533-position model. The record is from RNAcentral.
GACGAACGCUGGCGGCGUGCCUAAUACAUGCAAGUUGAGCGAUGAAGAUUGGUGCUUGCACCAAUUUGAAGAGCAGCGAACGGGUGAGUAACGCGUGGGGAAUCUGCCUUUGAGCGGGGGACAACAUUUGGAAACGAAUGCUAAUACCGCAUAACAACUUUAAACAUAAGUUUUAAGUUUGAAAGAUGCAAUUGCAUCACUCAAAGAUGAUCCCGCGUUGUAUUAGCUAGUUGGUGAGGUAAAGGCUCACCAAGGCGAUGAUACAUAGCCGACCUGAGAGGGUGAUCGGCCACAUUGGGACUGAGACACGGCCCAAACUCAUACGGGAGGCAGCAGUAGGGAAUCUUCGGCAAUGGACGAAAGUCUGACCGAGCAACGCCGAGUGAGUGAAGAAGGUUUUCGGAUCGUAAAACUCUGUUGGUAGAGAAGAACGUUGGUGAGAGUGGAAAGCUCAUCAAGUGACGGUAACUACCCAGAAAGGGACGGCUAACUACGUG